RNAcentral lists this ribosomal RNA (185 nucleotides) under uncultured bacterium. Its description in RNAcentral is "partial 16S ribosomal RNA". It matches the Rfam family "Bacterial small subunit ribosomal RNA", at positions 1308 to 1500 of the family's 1533-position model. The record is from RNAcentral.
CAACUCGCCUACAUGAAGUCGGAGUUGCUAGUAAUCGCGGAUCAGAAUGCCGCGGUGAAUGCGUUCCCGGGUCUUGUACACACCGCCCGUCACACCAUGGAAGUUGGGGGGCGCCCCGAAGUUGCCUAAGAAAUAAGGUACCUAAGGCGAAACCAAUGACUGGGGUGAAGUCGUAACAAGGUAAC